GAUGAACGCUGGCGGCGUGCCUAAUACAUGCAAGUCGAGCGAACGGACGAGAAGCUUGCUUCUCUGAUGUUAGCGGCGGACGGGUGAGUAACACGUGGAUAACCUACCUAUAAGACUGGGAUAACUUCGGGAAACCGGAGCUAAUACCGGAUAAUAUUUUGAGCCGCAUGGUUCAAAAGUGAAAGACGGUCUUGCUGUCACUUAUAGAUGGAUCCGCGCUGCAUUAGCUAGUUGGUAAGGUAACGGCUUACCAAGGCAACGAUGCAUAGCCGACCUGAGAGGGUGAUCGGCCACACUGGAACUGAGACACGGUCCAGACUCCUACGGGAGGCAGCAGUAGAGAAUCUUCCGCAAUGGGCGAAAGCCUGACGGAGCAACGCCGCGUGAGUGAUGAAGGUCUUCGGAUCGUAAAACUCUGUUAUUAGGGAAGAACAUAUGUGUAAGUAACUGUGCACAUCUUGACGGUACCUAAUCAGAAAGCCACGGCUAACUACGUG
RNAcentral lists this ribosomal RNA (497 nucleotides) under uncultured bacterium. RNAcentral's name for it is "partial 16S ribosomal RNA". It matches the Rfam family "Bacterial small subunit ribosomal RNA", at positions 28 to 507 of the family's 1533-position model. The record is from RNAcentral.